AGAGCGAACGCUGGCGGCAGGCCUAACACAUGCAAGUCGAGCGGCCGUAGCAAUACGGCAGCGGCAGACGGGAUAGUAACACGUGGGAACGCGCCCUUCGGUUCGGAAUAACUCAGGGAAACUUGAGCUAAUACCGGAUACGCCCUUACGGGGAAAGAUUUAUUGCCGAAGGAACGGCCCGCGUCCGAUUAGCUAGUUGGUGAGGUAAUGGCUCACCAAGGCUACGAUCGGUAGCUGGUCUGAGAGGAUGACCAGCAUCACUGGGACUGAGACACGGCCCAGACUCCUACGGGAGGCAGCAGUGGGGAAUAUUGGACAAUGGGCGCAAGCCUGAUCCAGCCAUGCCGCGUGGAUGAUGACGGCCUUAGGUUGUAAAGUCCUUUUAACGGGGAAGAUAAUGACGGUACCCGUAGAAUAAGCCCCGGCUAACUUCGUGCCAGCAGCCGC
Molecule: ribosomal RNA, 447 nt
Filed under: uncultured bacterium
Lineage: Bacteria
Description: SSU rRNA
Rfam family: Bacterial small subunit ribosomal RNA
Source: RNAcentral